CAGCAGCCGCGGGAAUACGUAGGUCCCGAGCGUUAUCCGGAUUUAUUGGGCGUAAAGCGAGCGCAGGCGGUUAGAUAAGUCUGAAGUUAAAGGCUGUGGCUUAACCAUAGUACGCUUUGGAAACUGUUUAACUUGAGUGCAGAAGGGGAGAGUGGAAUUCCAUGUGUAGCGGUGAAAUGCGUAGAUAUAUGGAGGAACACCGGUGGCGAAAGCGGCUCUCUGGUCUGUAACUGACGCUGAGGCUCGAAAGCGUGGGGAGCGAACAGGAUUAGAUACCCGCGUAGUCCCUGUCUCUUAUACC
RNAcentral lists this ribosomal RNA (301 nucleotides) under uncultured bacterium. RNAcentral describes it as "partial 16S ribosomal RNA". It matches the Rfam family "Bacterial small subunit ribosomal RNA", at positions 509 to 808 of the family's 1533-position model. The record is from RNAcentral.